RNAcentral lists this transfer RNA (71 nucleotides) under Bos taurus (domestic cattle). It matches the Rfam family "tRNA". Rfam says of the family: Transfer RNA (tRNA) molecules are approximately 80 nucleotides in length. Their secondary structure includes four short double-helical elements and three loops (D, anti-codon, and T loops). The record is from Rfam by way of RNAcentral. RNAcentral also lists the same sequence under 4 other names. Lineage: Eukaryota; Metazoa; Chordata; Mammalia; Artiodactyla; Bovidae.
UCCCUUGUGGCUCAGAUGGUAAAGCGCCUGCCUACAAUGCAGGAGACCCAGGUCGAUCCCUGGGUUGGGAA